ACCUGAGAUCCGUGCACACAGUUUGUAUUUUGAUCUGUCGGCGUACGGGAUCGACACUGUGAGGGAAUCACGCCGCUCCUCGCAGCCGGCAGCGAAGCCUGGAUUCCAUCUGAAGAUCUACGGAACGUUCCGGAACCGCUACAUGGCUCUGGCCUGCACUUCAGAUGCAGACUCCAAAAUGAUGCAUUUCCUGCGCCACACGGCCAACUCUUCAAUCAUGAAGAACAUCUUCCACCAGUCGUUCAACGCGUAUAAGACAGACAUCGAGCCACGUCUGAGUGAACUCACGCUGCACCACAUGCAGUGCAGCCGCAAGCUGUUCGAGAUCAUGCUGUCCUACAGACGCGUCAGCGCCGCUUACAUCGAAGGAGACAACGUCGCCGUGACUGUGGAAGGAGAAGCUGCGCGAGUGCUCAACUUCGACACCGGUUGUGGUGUGAAUCUGGGCAUGAGAGGACUGGAGUCUCUGGGAAUGUUCAUCUACAGAACGGCCACGGCGCUGGACCAGAACGACGUGUUUGAGGCGCUCUCGGCCAAAAUCCAGCACUCCAGACACGUGGCAGAGACUUUCAGGAAGAGCG
RNAcentral lists this long non-coding RNA (581 nucleotides) under Sinocyclocheilus anshuiensis. Its description in RNAcentral is "lncRNA (ENSSANG00000024599.1)". The record is from RNAcentral. Lineage: Eukaryota; Metazoa; Chordata; Actinopteri; Cypriniformes; Cyprinidae.